AUUGAACGCUGGCGGCAUGCCUUACACAUGCAAGUCGAACGGUAACAGGUCUUCGGAUGCUGACGAGUGGCGAACGGGUGAGUAAUACAUCGGAACGUGCCUAGUAGUGGGGGAUAAUUACUCGAAAGAGUGGCUAAUACCGCAUGAGAUCUACGGAUGAAAGCGGGGGAUCGCAAGACCUGGUGCUACUAGAGCGGCCGAUGGCAGAUUCGGUAGUUGGUGGGAUAAAAGCUUACCAACCCGACGAUCUGUAGCUGGUCUGAGAGGACGAGCAGCCACACUGGGACUGAGACACGGCCCAGACUCCUACGGGAGGCAGCAGUGGGGAAUUUUGGACAAUGGGCGAAAGCCUGAUCCAGCAAUGCCGCGUGCAGGAUGAAGGCCUUCGGGUUGUAAACUGCUUUUGUACGGAACGAAAAGCCCCGGGUUAAUACCCUGGGGUCAUGACGGUACCGUAAGAAUAAGCCCCGGCUAACUUCGUGCCAGCCGCCGCGGUAA
This 498-nucleotide ribosomal RNA is filed under the name uncultured bacterium. Its description in RNAcentral is "partial 16S ribosomal RNA". It matches the Rfam family "Bacterial small subunit ribosomal RNA", at positions 30 to 523 of the family's 1533-position model. The record is from RNAcentral.